Loxodonta africana (African savanna elephant) is the source of this 7772-nucleotide RNA transcript. It is a transcript of the gene named mannosyl-oligosaccharide glucosidase, with no coding region annotated. Lineage: Eukaryota; Metazoa; Chordata; Mammalia; Proboscidea; Elephantidae. The record is from RefSeq and is a predicted model, not a curated record. The transcript has 5 exons.
UAAAAGACCUGUGGACCAGCAUUGGGUUUGGUCAGAAGGUGAUUGUUGAAUGAGCAAGAACUCUACCAGUGGAGAGUGGGGCUAGAAGCGAGAUUAUAAUGAAAUAAGGGAGUAGAUGUGCAGGAUAAAGUAUUAGUUUUAGAUAAUGAGUUUGGAGAGGAGAUAAAAUAGCUGGAGGGUGUAUUAGUAGCGUAAGGGUGCAGAGUAGGGUUUUUUAAUGAUAGGAGGAUCUUGUACUUUCUAAAAAUACCUUUUGGGCUGGGCUGUUAAGAAAUAAGUAGUUAUGAUCUAAAUUGCAUUUAUGAACUGCCAUCAAAUAUAAUGUUGAUUCAUAGGUCAGUCUGACAUGUCCAUGCCUUCCCACAGCCUUCCCUGAACUGGACACAAGCGAUCCCUUCCCAAAGUGCCUUUGCUUUGGUGUUUGCUUCUCUGAGUGGAUGCACCACCGUUAUGGUCUUGUUAGGGUUCUUCUAGCCCAACCUCUUAUUGUACAGUUUGAAAUCGCAGGGUGGCAUAGCUAUACCCGCUGUCAGGACUCAGGCCUCGUUUUGGGUCAGUCCUGCAUUCUCCACUCCGUGAGGAAAGGAAGCAGUGGGUGCAGGCAGAGUGAUCUAGCCUAAGAUUCAGAUAUCCUUUCGUUCGAAGCUAAUUACUUCCCAGCUCUGUGUCCCGGGCCAAGUUAUUUGACCUUUCUAAAGCCACCCACGGUUUUCUGUAAAACACCUGGGAUAACGUCUACGGUUCUCAAUAUAUAUAGUUGUCAUAAAAAAAAAAAAAAAUUGAGGUUGGACUUCUCUACUAGUCUAUGAACCCCGUGGGGAUGCCGAAUAACACUGACCUAGCGGACCCAGGCGGAGGCGAACCCUGGCCUCCAGCCCUUCGUCCCCACCGCGCUCACUGUUUCGGGGUCGGAGCCUAACCUGACGUGGCGAGGCGGGACUUCCGGCAGGAGGCGGAAGUGGAGCCGGCGGCGCGGGCUUGCAGCUGCGGCUGACAACGGUGGUAGCCCGGGCUCGACGAGCGAUCUGGGAGGCAAGGCAGGACCGGCUCUCCGCUCCCGCCACUCCGAGCCCCUGCGACGCCGACCUCCGUUCCGAGAUGACUCGGGGUGAGCGACGGCGCCGCGCAGCGCCGGAGGGAGUGCGGACAGCCGAGAGGGCUGCUCGGAGCGGCCGCGCACAACAGGGCGGAGGGAUCCAAGGCACCGCUAGAGGGGCGGUUCUGGCCGUGGUGGUCUUGUCGCUGGUCCUGGGCCUGUCGGGGCCCUGGCUGCUGGCGUGGCAUCGUGCACGGCGAGCAGUCACGCUGCACUCCGCGCCCCCGGCGCUGCCCCCCAACUCCUCCAGUCCCGCCGUGGCCCCAGACCUCUUCUGGGGUACCUACCGCCCCCACGUCUACUUCGGCAUGAAGACCCGCAGCCCGCAGCCCCUUCUUACCGGACUGAUGUGGGCGCAGCAGGGUGCCAUCCCAGGGGCCCCAAAGCUCAGGCACACGUGUGAGCAGGGAGACGGCGUGGGUCCCUAUGGCUGGGAGUUUCACGACGGCCUCUCCUUCGGGCGCCAGCAUAUUCAAGAUGGGGCCUUAAAACUCACCACUGAGUUCGUCAAGAGGCCUGGGGGACAGCAUGGAGGGGACUGGAGCUGGAGAGUGACUGUGGAGCCUCAGUCUUCAGCUACCUCUGCUCUCCCUUUGGUCUCCCUGUUCUUCUAUGUGGUGACAGAUGGCAAGGAAGCCCUAGUGCCAGAAGUUGGGGCCAAGGGGCAAUUGAAGUUCAUCAGUGGCCAUACCAGUGAACUUGGUGAUUUCCGCCUUACACUUCUGCCACCAACCAAUCCAGUGGAUACUGCCCCCAAGUAUGGCAGCUACAACGUCUUCUGGUCCUCCAACCCAGGACUGCCACUGCUGACAGAGAUGGUGAAGAGUCGCUUGAAUAGCUGGUUUCAGCACCAGCCCCCAGGGGCCUCCCCUGAACGCUAUCUUGGCUUGCCAAGGUCUCUGAAGUGGGAGGACAGAGGCCCAAAUGGGCAAGGACAGGGACAAGGGCAAUUCUUGAUACAGCAGGUGACACUGAAAGUCCCCUUUUCUGUGGAGCUGGUGUUUGAAUCAGGUAGUGCCCGGAUGGGAAGAAGCCAAGCCCUGGAGCAGCUAGCAGGCAGCCUGCUGACUCAGGCCCUGGAGAGCCAUGCUGAAGCCUUUAGAGAGCGUUUUGAGAAGACCUUCCAGCUGAAGAAGAAGGGCCUGAGCCCAGAAGAGCAGGCUUUGGGCCGGAUUGCCCUCAGUGGCCUCCUUGGUGGGAUCGGCUACUUCUACGGACAAGGUCUGGUGUUACCAGACAUGGGGGUAGAGGAGUCUGAGCAGAAGGCAGACCCAUCCCUCUUUCCCCCUGUCCCGCUUUUCACAGCGGUGCCUUCCCGGUCAUUCUUCCCACGAGGCUUCCUUUGGGACGAGGGCUUUCACCAGUUGGUGGUCCAGCGCUGGGACCCCCGCCUCACCCGAGAGGCCCUAGGCCACUGGCUGGGGCUGCUCAAUGCUGAUGGCUGGAUUGGACGGGAGCAGGUGCUGGGGGAUGAGGCCCGCGCUCGGGUGCCCCCGGAAUUCCUGGUGCAGCGGGCAGCGCAUGCCAACCCCCCAACCCUGCUUUUGCCUGUAGCUCACAUGUUAGAGGCUGGUGACCCUGCUGACUUGGCCUUCCUCCGCAGGGCCUUCCCCCGCCUGCUUGCCUGGUUCUCCUGGCUCCAUCAGAGCCAGGCAGGGCCAGUACCACUAUCAUACCGUUGGCGGGGCCGGGAUCCAGCUUUGCCACACCUGCUGAACCCCAAGACACUGUCCUCAGGGCUGGAUGACUACCCCCGGGCCUCACACCCUUCAGCUGCCGAGCGGCACCUGGAUCUGCGGUGUUGGGUGGCACUGGGUGCCCGUGUGCUGGUACGGCUGGCAGAGCAGUUGGGGGAGGCUGAGGCAGCUGCCGACCUGAGCCCACUGGCCACCUCCCUAGAGGCAGAGGCAAGCCUGGAUAAGCUGCACUGGGCCCCAGAGCUAGGGGUUUUUGCAGACUUCGGGAACCACACAAAAGCAGUGCAGCUAAAGCCUAGGCCCCCUCAGGGGCUGGUGCGGGUGGUGGGCCGGACCCCACCUCGAAUGCAGUAUGUGGAUGCUCUGGGCUAUGUCAGUCUUUUUCCUUUUUUGCUGAGGCUGCUGAGCCCCAGCUCGUCCCACCUUGGGCCCUUGCUGGACGUUCUAGCUGACAGCCGCCAUCUCUGGAGCCCAUUUGGUUUGCGCUCCCUCGCAGCCUCCAGCUCCUUUUAUGGCCAGCGCAAUACCGAGCAUGAUCCUCCUUACUGGCGGGGUGCUGUGUGGGUCAAUCUCAACUACCUGGCCUUGGGGGCACUCCACCACUAUGGACACCUGGAGGGUCCCCACCAGGCCCGAGCUGCCAAGCUCUACAGUGAGCUCCGUGCCAAUGUAGUGGGCAAUGUGUGGCGGCAAUACCAGGCCACAGGCUUCCUAUGGGAGCAGUAUAGUGACCGAGAUGGGCGAGGCAUGGGCUGCCGCCCUUUCCAAGGCUGGACCAGCCUUGUCCUUUUGGCCAUGGCUGAUGACUACUGAGAGGGAAGGAUGGGAGGGGAGACAGGCCCCUUGUACCCCUCUGGACCUGGAGAGACAAGGUCUCUGACUUCUGCCCCCCAGCCCCUCAGAUACCCUCAGCUCAUCUCAGGUGUGUCCUCACUGUCAUCCCACACAGCCCUGGGAUGAAUGUGAAUUUCAGAGUCUAUUUUUCUAAAUAAACUGGAAAAACAUGCCAAACACUUGCUUUUGCCAGCUUUGCCUCACCAAGAGGUCUUAGCUGCCUAUUGUCCUCAAGGAAGGUGGGACAAGUAGCUAUAAUAUAUCCCCUCCAAAUCCAGUCAGAUCAAGUACAGUGUAGCAAAUUGUACUUAGUCCACCCAAAUCCACAAGUGGCUGGUUCACAUCUCUUUAAUGAGAUCAAAGGCUCCUGUGUAUGUCUUGUGGGGUGGAGUUAGCACAGUCCCCUCUCUCCUCAGGGCUCCGGCCUCUUCAGGCAGAUUCUAGGAGGGCAGGUAGGGGGUCAAGGAGAACUCAAGGAGUUGGGACCAGGGCUGUUUCUGGUAAGCAAGUAAGUCACCAGCCCAAAACUACUUAUGGGAUGUCCCCUUCACUGGAAGCCAGCCCCACAGGGGAGACCUGGAGUACAGACUCUGGGGGCAGGGCACAAGGGGAGUGGUCCUCCAGAUCUGGAAGGGUGGCACUAGCUCUCGCUUCCUUGACUGGUUCAUUGGAGUCAGGACAGGGGCAGAGCUCGAUGCCAGAGUCACCAGUCAGGCGGCGAUAGCGGCAGGAAGCGGGUGUGAAGGCAGAAUUCACCGCUACCCCUGGCUCACCCUCCUGAUGAGGGGCAUGCUGGUGGGAGGCAACACCUUCCAUGUUUGUUCCCUCACGGUGGGCAGGGCAGCUAGAGGUGGAGGAGCAGCAGGGGCAUUCAGUGGAAGCAGUCAAGGAGCAGCCUGGGACCACAGUGUAAGGAGGUGGUGGUGUGCCUGGGCGUUGAACCACAUCCUCGUAGGCUGGGGGUUUGAAGGCGCUGAGGAGGCCUGCAGGGGAGAGAAUGGCACAGUUGACUGGUUGGAGGUGACCAGGACUGAGUGGUCUCUUUCCUAUGAGGGAACAGGGUGCCUUGCGAUGUCUGGGAAAGGGAAUGUGGGCAUGAUUCUGGCUCCUGGUUUGGGAGGGACCAUGGUAGUCAGCCCAGAGCUUCAAAUCACUCACGAAGGUCAAGCAGUGAACCCGUAGGGACAGGGCCGGCCCCGUGGCAUGCCCCAUGGUAGGCCAACAAGUUGAUCUCACGCUGCCGCUGCUGCUGCUGUAGCCGGAGUUUAGCUCGUCGGUGGCGGAAGGCGCAACAGCAGCUGAAGAGGAUGAGGACAGUCCAGAGCAGCCAGAACCCUGCAGGAGGUGAGGAGGGGGUGUCUCAGAUGCCUCCCAGGCAGAGAAGGGUCCUUCAAGGCUGGAAUUCUGUAGUCCAAGGGAGGAUGGGUAGAGGGACCUGAGGAUAGUCCCUUGGAGACUCACACCAGAGCUCAUAGUAGUAGGUGCAGCAGCCGGUCUCCCCACAGCAGUGACCGCUCUCACAGAGGUAGGGCUGGUUGUUCACUCCUGGACACAGCUCUCGAAGCUGGGGACAAGGAGGCACUUCAUACCACGGAUGAUUCCAGCCCAAGGCACUGUUCACACCCCCAGCCCCCCACAUGCACACACACAAUCCCACCCUGGGAACCAAAUUUAGCUUGGAGAGGCCUAUGACGGGAUGGGGAAAGGGUGCUGAGAAGUUUUCAAAUAUUCAAAGGGCUGUCAACGUGGAAGAGGGUUUGGAAUAGCAAGAAUCAGUCUAGAGAACAUGAAGCAAAGUGUGGACAGAAAGAGGAAGAUUUCAGCUCUCAUACACAAGAUUUCUCUCACUGGUAAAGCUGGUUCCCCAGAUGCUUUCUGUUAAAGGAGUGUCUUGGCAGGAGCCAUCAGACAUGGUCUCAGAUAACGGGUAAGGGGUUUCAGGUCACUUCUAAAGCUGCUUUCAUUACCCUCCAUGGUCCAUCCCCCACCCAAGCUGGAUCUUUCCACUCCUGGGUCUCAGGCUCCCUAGGGUAGAGAAGGGGCAGUGUGAGACCCAGAGCAGUGCUCCCAACAGAGGGGAUUGCUGUGGAUACUAAAGGAUGACAUCCAGGGCGCCGAGUUUGGGUUCCAGCUCUUCUCCAAAUUGCUCCCUCAAGAGAAGACGCUGCCGGACUCUGUUGUGACAAUAGGCACACAGAAAAACAUCACAACUGUUACAAGACACUGGGGGCCUCGCUAUGCCUCUGGCCACUGGAGAGCCGCUGCAAACUUCCACUACAGCCAUGGGAUGGGGUCUAUGAGGCUGCAGGCAAAGUCAACUGCAUCUGCGUUACAAAGUUUAGACAAAGAAUGGAAGGGGCAUGUUCAGGAACGCCACAGAAUCUUUGGCUCCGUGAGUUCCUCCCCCACCCCCCAAAAGGAAGGGACAAGGAAAGAGGAAAGAAAUACAAAUGGCUGUCGCGACAGGCUUUUGGAGCUUUGGGAUACCUGCUGUUGCGGCGCCCGAAGUGCCCCCCACGCCUCCUCGCUGCCGUUUGCGCUGCUGGCCCGAGCCAUUCCUCCACCUACAGCCCCCCAAAGACCUGAGUCUCCUCUACCGCCAGCCGCCCCGCCCCUGCCACCUCUGCCGCCACCACCAUGGUCCCUGCCCGGCCCAUCUUCGCUGCCGCCACCAUCACUCCGCGACCGUAGCCUCCAUCCGGGGAGAGCUCUGCCAACUAGGGCCCAGAUUGCUCUGUCCUACCAAUCAACAUCGCGCUUCAAGGGACGGGCCAAUAGGAACAGAUCGGGGGUUUCUCCCUGUGACCAAUCUAGAGCACCGCCUCUGCCACUCGUCCAGACAACAAGAGCUUGCACAGACAAAGAGUGGGGGAAGGUUCGACCCACGGCGCUGACUGACAGCAAUAAUAGCCAAUAGCGGGUAACAGGGCGGGCUCCGUCUUAUCAUCCAAUGAACGGUCGACCAGAAGAUCAACUUUCCCCCGAUUGGCUUGGGCCAUAUUUUCGAGAUGACGCCAAACUCCGUACUACGCCAGGUAAUCCCCACUGGAAGAGGCCGGGGGCUGUCUGGUCGGUCUUCCUGCGGCCGUUUUCAGGCCACAGGUGUCUGCGCAAGCUGCAGCGGGGGCAAGAGUCCCCUGGAGACUCAGAGGACUGAGAAAGUUGCUUGAUCGCCUCGCGCUUACCUGGCUCAGGGGCCUCCAUAGCCCCAGAGGUGCUUCCGCGCCGCCACAGCUUACUCAUGGGAUCCUGCAAAGAAAGGGGACUGGAAAGGUUCGGGACAUAUGCAGACAUGCCUUUUCCGCCCCGCGGAAGACCAGGCUCCAGCAAAAUAAACGGCUAUUUCCGCGUCGUGGCGGCCAUACUUGUGCAGGGCACGCUUUGCAGUCAAAAUCCGUCCGAGAAACAACCAUUCUUUCCAACAAUAGUUCCGGGACCUGUGAGGUCCGGACAACCCAAAGGGGCGUGUUUUUCCCCUCGCCCCGCCUCUGCUACUUCAAGAACACAGCGCGGGCGGUUCAAUUAUUACACUCAAGCUUAGUGAGCGCGUACUCCGGGCCAGGCACCGUGCUGGGCUGUGAGGAUACGAAGAUGAAUAUGAACACUCCCGCUGCCCUUGAUGAGUUCACAGUUCCGUGGAGGAAUACAUAGGAAACUCUAUAGCUGAGAAAAUGGCGGAAGCGCUUAACGGCACUAGUGACAGACCCUAGAAGUCUAAAUGCUCAUCAGUAGGGAAAGGGUACACGUAUAGAAUUUGAAACACCGUGGAGCUUCCAAGAUGAAUUAUGGUGCAUCUAUAAAUUUGAAACACCAUGGAGCUUCCAAGAAUUAAGAGUGAUAAGUAAUUGAUAAGAACUGACAUGGAAUUUAGAUCCCAAGGGAUAAUAGCAGUGGAAAAAAUCUAAGUGUCUUUCUGCUGGGGUAUAAUUACAUAAAUUUUGGUACGUCUAUACAAUGGGAAGCUAUGCAGCUAUUAAAAUCAAUGAGGCUGCAGACGGUUAUCCAAGAAACUGGUGACAACAGUUGCCAAUAGGUGGCUGGGGAACAUGGGUGGAGACUUACUUUCAUAAUGUACCCUUUUGUGCCUAUUGAACUUUGUAUAAAACGUGUAUAUUUUACCUAAUCAAAAAAAAAAAAAGAAAGAA